CAGCAGCCGCGGGAAUACGUAGGUGGCAAGCGUUGUCCGGAAUUAUUGGGCGUAAAGGGCUCGCAGGCGGUUUCUUAAGUCUGAUGUGAAAGCCCCCGGCUCAACCGGGGAGGGUCAUUGGAAACUGGGAAACUUGAGUGCAGAAGAGGAGAGUGGAAUUCCACGUGUAGCGGUGAAAUGCGUAGAGAUGUGGAGGAACACCAGUGGCGAAGGCGACUCUCUGGUCUGUAACUGACGCUGAGGAGCGAAAGCGUGUGGAGCGAACAGGAUUAGAUACCCCGGUAGUCCCUGUCUCUUAUAC
Molecule: ribosomal RNA, 301 nt
Filed under: uncultured bacterium
Lineage: Bacteria
Description: partial 16S ribosomal RNA
Rfam family: Bacterial small subunit ribosomal RNA
Source: RNAcentral